Molecule: ribosomal RNA, 497 nt
Filed under: Drusus romanicus romanicus
Lineage: Eukaryota; Metazoa; Arthropoda; Insecta; Trichoptera; Limnephilidae
Description: partial 16S ribosomal RNA
Source: RNAcentral
UUUAAAGUCUAAUCUGCCCCCUGAAAUUAUUUUAAAGGGCUGCGGUAUUUUAACCGUACAAAGGUAGCAUAAUAAUUAGGUUUUUGAUUGAAAUCUAGAAUGAAUGAUUGGACGAGAUACAAGCUGUUUUAUAAUAAUUAAUUAAAACUUAAUUUUUUAGUCAAAAAGCUAAAAUUUUAUUAAAAGACGAGAAGACCCUAUAAAUCUUUAUAAUAAAUUUAUUUUAAUAAAUUAUUUUAUUUAAAUUAAUAGUUUUAAUAUUAAAUUAUUUUAUUGGGGUGAUACAAAAAUUUAAUUAACUUUUUUAUUAGUAUUUCUUAAAUUAAAGAUUUAUAAAAAUAUGAUCUAUUAUUAAUAAUUCAGAGAAUAAGAUACUUUAGGGAUAACAGCGUAAUUUUAAUUUUAAGUUCUUAUUAAAAUUAAAGAUUGCGACCUCGAUGUUGGAUUAAAAUUUAAUUUAAAUGCAAAGGUUUAAAAAUUAAGUCUGUUCGACUUUU